GUUAAAGCAUAUGCGCUGUUUUGGUUCAUUCGUUGGUUAAGAUAUAGAGGGAUCGAAUGUCCCAUCGUCACGAUGAUUAAUGUCCGUCUGACCUGGAAGAACUAUCUGCCGAGAUAGUGACGACCUGACCAGCCUCACCUUCUUGGUAAAAUUGUCCCUCUGCUGCUAAAACUCGUCCGUUACAUUCGCUCGAUAACAUCAGCAGCGGUGCAUACGGCUAGCGGUCAUCAGCCAAGCGAGCCUGAAAUAACGUAGACUCGGUUGCCAUAAUGCGAGGUCUAGAAGAGGAUGACGAGAAAUAAGUAAGAAGAAGCGCCUGCCAGAUUAGCUCAUACAGUCGUCUGCCUGCUCCCCGGUACAGGGGGCCCUAGGCUCCUUUGCUUCUUCCCUAUCGUCCUUCUCGCAGACCGCACCGAAACUAGAUGAAGUAACGAGAACGGAGGGACUGAACAAGGUGAAGAGCAAGGCAAAAAAGAAAUCGCGUAAGAUUCUAUCACGUUGCCAGACCUUGGCUACUGUGAACGAUUUCGCUAUUGCGAUUCUUAUUACCACUAAUACUGUUGCUGUGCGACGGGAGCCGCGGCGGCGUUGGCUGUAUCUCGUUCCUGCGUCGGCUCGGUCAUUCUUCGACAUCUUGGAUGGACAGUUCCAUUUGUAACUGGCCACCCGCUGCGAGACAUACAUGCCGCACCGAGCUAAUGGUCCGCUUUGCCAGCAACUGCUUACCCUAGAUAAAGCUAGGGCUAUUACAACUAUUACAUAAUGACAGCACGCGGCUGUACUUUCAGAUAUUGGAUAUACACAGUAUAUGUUUGGAGUGGGUCAACGGCAAAACACGGGCGAAAUUCGGAAGCGAUCAUCACUUCAGGUAGCAGGCGAGAUAAAUGGAUAUGUUGUGGUUUAGGUUCGAAUACGGGCAUUGAUGCAGUUCGUUUUGCUGAAAGCCAGCCGUCUGCUGGAAUAUCUAAGGACGAUAUCGGACGUGCAACUUGAAACAUAGAAGCUUGGCGAACGGACAGAAUAUUAUAUCGCAUACCUUCGUCUAGCCUAUUUGUUUAAAAGAUUCUCACCAGGAUAUCCUUUUACAUAACGAUGACAGUGUGCAGGUGCUCCAUCCUGCUGGAAAUAAAAUUCACCAUUUCCAUCGAAGGCCCCCCAAGUCCAUGCGAAUUCAACUAAUCGUCAGCAGUUUAAAAAAUAAAAACAAAAUAGUGUCAAUGUAUACAUUUUUUUGGAACAGCCCCUGGUUAGAAGUCCCCCCUGCCUGCACCAUGCACACUAUAGCAUAUAAACCAUAUAUAUCCAGUUCGUAAGCUGAAGUAAAUCUUUCGAGUUCUACGUUUUAAAACUGCCUUAUCACUGCAUUACACGUCUUGGAAAGCUUAUCAUUGACUGUUGUGUCUCCGACAACUUAGUUUCGCUGAAGCUGAAAUUGUGUGAUGUAACAAUUUCUGCAGAUGAUUUUUAGCUUUCCUACUUCUUAG
Long non-coding RNA from Varroa destructor (honeybee mite), 1484 nucleotides. NCBI's taxonomy places the organism in Eukaryota, Metazoa, Arthropoda, Arachnida, Mesostigmata, Varroidae. The record is from RefSeq and is a predicted model, not a curated record.